UCAAGCGACUAAGUGUAUGUGGUGGAUGCCUUGGCAAAAUCUACAUGGUCGAAGAAGGUACGUCGUCAUCCUGUCGAAAAGCCGUGGGGAGCCUGGCAAGCGAGCCACUGAUGCCACGGAUGUCCGAAUGAGGGAACUCACCCGCAAGGGUAUCUUGAAGUGAAUACAUAGCUUCAAGAGGCGAACGCAGCGAACUGAAACAUCUAAGUAGCUGCAGGAAAAGAAAUCAACCGAGAUUCUGAAAGUAGCGGCGAGCGAAAUUGGAAGAGCCUGCAAGUGAUAUUGAAUUCGAUACUGGAACGGUCUGGAAAGUCCGGCUACAGAGGGUGACAGCCCCGUACGGGAAAUUGGGUUCAAGGUACUGAGCUUGCGAGAAGUAGAGCGGGACACGUGAAUCAUCCUUGCUCGAAGAUGGGGGGACCAUCCUCCAAGGCUAAAUACUCGUAAUCGACCGAUAGCGAACCCAGUACUGUGAAGGAAAGGCGAAAAGAACCCCGGGAGGGGAGUGAAAUAGAUCCUGAAACCGCAUACAUACAAACAGUAGGAGCCCGCAAGGGUGACUGCGUACCUUUUGCAUAAUGGGUCAGCGACUUACGUUCAAUGGCAAGCUUAACCGAGUAGGGGAGGCGCAGCGAAAGCGAGUCCGAACAGGGCGAUAUGAGUCGUUGGGCGUAGACCCGAAACCAGAUGAUCUAUCCAUGGCCAGGCUGAAGGUGUGGUAACACACACUGGAGGGCCGAACCGACUAGUGUUGCAAAAUUAGCGGAUGAGCUGUGGAUAGGGGUGAAAGGCUAAACAAAUCUGGAGAUAGCUGGUUCUCCCCGAAAACUAUUGAGGUAGUGCCUCGUGUAUGGCUCCAGGGGGUAGAGCACUGUUAUGGCUAGGGGGACAUGGCGUCUUACCAAACCAUGGCAAACUCCGAAUACUUGGAAGUCUGAGCACGGGAGACAGAGCACCGGGUGCUAACGUCCGGGACUCAAAAGGGAAACAACCCAGACCGCCGGCUAAGGUCCCUAAUAUUGACUAAGUGGAAAAACGAAGUGGGAAGGCUAAAACAGUCAGGAAGUUGGCUUAAACCACCCCAAUUCACUUUCAAAGAAACCGUAAUAGCUAACUGAUCGAGUCUUCCUGCGCCGGAAAAAUGUAACGGGGCUAAGUCAAUAACCGAAGCCGCGGAUUCGCAGCAAUGCAGUGGUAGGGGAAGCGUUCUGUAAGCCUGCAAGGCGGAUCCGCGAGGACCGCUGGAGGUAUCAGAAGUGCGAAUGCUGACAUGAGUAACGUUAAAGCGGGUGAAAAGCCCCUCGCCAGCCCAAGGGGGGACGGAGUCCUGAAGGUCAUCCGGGUGUUGGACAUCCCGGUUUACGAGCGUAGGAGGUUGACAGGCAAAUCCGUCAACGGAUCUCCAAGGCGAAGGAUCGAGGUUGAGAGAUCAACUGAAGUGACUGAAUGGGCUUCCAGGAAAAGCCUCUAAGCAUCAGCUUGGAAUUGACCGUACCGCAAACCGACACUGGUGGGCGAGCUGAAUAUGAUCAGGCGCUUGAGAGAACACAGGAGAAGGAACUCGGCAAAUUGACACCGUAACUUCGGGAUAAGGUGUGCCUUUGUAGUGUGAAGAGAGAAACACUCCGAGCAUGAAGAGGCCUCAGAGAAUCGGUGGCUGCAACUGUUUACUAAAAACACAGCACUCCUGCAAAGAUGAAAGUACGACGUAUAGGGUGUGAUGCCUGCCCGGUGCUGGAAGAUUAAUUGAUGGGGUGCAAGCUCCUGAUCGAAGUCCCAGUAAACGGCGGCCGUAACUAUAACGGUCCCUAAAGGAGCGAAAUUCCUUGUCGGGCAAGUUCCGACCUGCAGAAUGGCAAAUGAUGGCCACACUGUCUCCUCCUAGACUCAGUAAGUUGAAAUGUUUGUGAUGAUGCAAUCUCCCCCGGCUAGACGGAAAGACCCCAUAACCUUACUGCAGCUUUGCAUUGGACUUUGAUACCGAUCUGUGUAGGAUAGGUGGGAGGCAGUGAAGCUAGGACGCCAGUCUUAGCGGAGCCAACCUUCAAAUACCACCCUGAUUUGUUUGAGGUUACUAACCUAGGCAGACGUAAGCCGAUUGCGGGGCACCGUGCAUCCUAGGCAGUUUGAUGGGCGGUCUCCUCCUAAAGGGUAACGGAGGAGUGCGAAGGUACGCUAGGUACGGUCGGAAAUCGUGCUGAUAGUGCAAUGGCAAAAGCGUGCUUGACUGCGAGACCGACAAGUCGAGCAGAUACGAAAGUAGGUCAUAGUGAUCCGGUGGCUCUGCAUGGAAGGGCCAUCGCUCAACGGAUAAAAGGUACUCUGGGGAUAACAGGCUGAUACCGCCCAAGAGUUCAUAUCGACGGCGGUGUUUGGCACCUCGAUGUCGGCUCAUCUCAUCCUGGGGCUGUAGCCGGUCCCAAGGGUAUGGCUGUUCGCCAUUUAAAGAGGUACGUGAGCUGGGUUUAAAACGUCGUGAGACAGUUUUGUCCCUAUCUGCCGUGGGCGUUGGAAGAUUGACGGGGGCUGCUCCUAGUACGAGAGGACCGGAGUGGACUCACCUCUGGUGUACCGGUUGUCACGCCAGGGCAUCGCCGGGUAGGCUAUGUGGGAAAGGAAAACA
Molecule: ribosomal RNA, 2623 nt
Filed under: unidentified
Description: bacterial LSU rRNA
Rfam family: Bacterial large subunit ribosomal RNA
Source: RNAcentral